RNAcentral lists this ribosomal RNA (440 nucleotides) under uncultured bacterium. RNAcentral's name for it is "partial 16S ribosomal RNA". It matches the Rfam family "Bacterial small subunit ribosomal RNA", at positions 338 to 795 of the family's 1533-position model. The record is from RNAcentral.
CCUACGGGUGGCAGCAGUGGGGAAUAUUGCACAAUGGGGGAAACCCUGAUGCAGCGACGCCGCGUGAGCGAUGAAGUAUUUCGGUAUGUAAAGCUCUAUCAGCAGGGAAGAAAAUGCCGGUACCUGACUAAGAAGCCCCGGCUAACUACGUGCCAGCAGCCGCGGGAAUACGUAGGGGGCAAGCGUUAUCCGGAUUUACUGGGUGUAAAGGGAGCGUAGACGGCGAUGCAAGCCAGAUGUGAAAGCCCGGGGCUCAACCCCGGGACUGCAUUUGAAACUGGAUAGCUGGAGUGUCGGAGAGGCAGGCGGAAUUCCUAGUGUAGGGGUGAAAUGCGUAGAUAUUAGGAGGAACACCAGUGGCGAAGGCGACCAGCUGGCCGAUGACUGACGUUGAGGCUCGAAAGCGUGGGGAGCAAACAGGAUUAGAUACCCGAGUAGUC